GACGAACGCUGGCGGCGUGCCUAACACAUGCAAGUCGAACGGAGAGUUAGCAAUAACUCUUAGUGGCGAACGGGUGAGUAACGCGUAGACAACCUGCCUCUAAACUGGGGACAACACCGCGAAAGUGGUGCUAAUACCGAAUGUGGUAACUUGAUCGCAUGAUCGAGUUAAGAAAGAUGGCCUCUAUUUAUAAGCUAUCGAUUAGAGAUGGGUCUGCGUCUGAUUAGCUAGUUGGUGAGGUAAUGGCUCACCAAGGCGACGAUCAGUAGCCGGUCUGAGAGGAUGAACGGCCGCACUGGGACUGAGACACGGCCCAGACUCCUACGGGAGGCAGCAGUGGGGAAUCUUCCGCAAUGGACGAAAGUCUGACGGAGCAACGCCGCGUGAGUGAAGAAGGUCUUCGGAUUGUAAAGCUCUGUCGUUUGGGACGAAUGUGAGCUGUGUGAAUAAUGCAGCUUAAUGACGGUACCAAAGGAGGAAGCCACGGCUAACUACGUGCCAGCAGCCGCCGUAA
This 514-nucleotide ribosomal RNA is filed under the name uncultured bacterium. RNAcentral describes it as "partial 16S ribosomal RNA". It matches the Rfam family "Bacterial small subunit ribosomal RNA", at positions 28 to 523 of the family's 1533-position model. The record is from RNAcentral.